RNAcentral lists this small nucleolar RNA (107 nucleotides) under Theobroma cacao (cacao). RNAcentral's name for it is "Plant small nucleolar RNA R71". It matches the Rfam family "Plant small nucleolar RNA R71". Rfam says of the family: R71 is a member of the C/D box family of snoRNAs containing the C (UGAUGA) and D (CUGA) box motifs. Multiple nearly identical copies of this snoRNA have been identified in Arabidopsis, and it is thought to function as a 2'-O-ribose methylation guide for 18S ribosomal RNA. Lineage: Eukaryota; Viridiplantae; Streptophyta; Magnoliopsida; Malvales; Malvaceae. The record is from Rfam by way of RNAcentral.
AGCCCAUGGUGUGGACAUCUUCUAAGCAAAUUUUUAAAUCAUUUCCAAGCCUCAUAUAAGGAUUCACCAUCAACUUGUGUGAAUGAGGCUAUAUCAUGCCUCAGCUU